Molecule: ribosomal RNA, 582 nt
Filed under: uncultured beta proteobacterium
Lineage: Bacteria; Pseudomonadati; Pseudomonadota; Betaproteobacteria
Description: bacterial SSU rRNA
Rfam family: Bacterial small subunit ribosomal RNA
Source: RNAcentral
CUGACGAGUGGCGAACGGGUGAGUAAUAUAUCGGAACGUGCCCAGUAGUGGGGGAUAGCCCGGCGAAAGCCGGAUUAAUACCGCAUACGACCUACGGGUGAAAGCGGGGGAUCGCAAGACCUCGCGCUAUUGGAGCGGCCGAUAUCAGAUUAGCUAGUUGGUAGGGUAAAAGCCUACCAAGGCGACGAUCUGUAGCUGGUCUGAGAGGACGACCAGCCACACUGGGACUGAGACACGGCCCAGACUCCUACGGGAGGCAGCAGUGGGGAAUUUUGGACAAUGGACGCAAGUCUGAUCCAGCCAUGCCGCGUGCGGGAAGAAGGCCUUCGGGUUGUAAACCGCUUUUGUCAGGGAAGAAAAGUCUGGGGCUAAUAUCCUCGGAUGAUGACGGUACCUGAAGAAUAAGCACCGGCUAACUACGUGCCAGCAGCCGCGGUAAUACGUAGGGUGCAAGCGUUAAUCGGAAUUACUGGGCGUAAGCGUGCGCAGCGGUUCUAUAAGACAGAUGUGAAAUCCCCGGGCUCACCUGAACUGCAUUUGUGACUGUAGAGCUGGAUACGUAAGGGGGAUGGAAUUCCGCGU